RNAcentral lists this ribosomal RNA (444 nucleotides) under uncultured bacterium. RNAcentral describes it as "bacterial SSU rRNA". It matches the Rfam family "Bacterial small subunit ribosomal RNA", at positions 354 to 796 of the family's 1533-position model. The record is from RNAcentral.
GUGGGGAAUUUUGGACAAUGGGCGAAAGCCUGAUCCAGCCAUGCCGCGUGCAGGAUGAAGGCCUUCGGGUUGUAAACUGCUUUUAACCGGGAAGAAACCCCAGGACGUGUCCUGGGUUGACGGUACCGGAGGAAUAAGCACCGGCUAACUUCGUGCCAGCAGCCGCGGUAAUACGAAGGGUGCAAGCGUUAUCCGGAUUCAUUGGGUUUAAAGGGUGCGUAGGCGGAGCGUUAAGUCAGUGGUGAAAUCCUGCAGCUUAACUGUAGACUUGCCAUUGAUACUGGCGCUCUUGAGUGCGCUUGAAGUGGGCGGAAUGUGCCGUGUAGCGGUGAAAUGCUUAGAUAUGGCACAGAACACCAAUUGCGAAGGCAGCUCACUAAGGCGAUACUGACGCUGAGGCACGAAAGCGUGGGGAUCGAACAGGAUUAGAAACCCCUGUAGUCC